AACGCAUAUUGCGCUCUCUGGUAUUCCGGAGAGCAUGCUUGUUUGAGUAUCAGUAAACACCUCAACUCUAUAUUCUUUUUUGAAUAUAGAAUUGGACUUGAGCAAUCCCAACAUUUGUAACAAAAUGGCGGGUUGCUUGAAAUGCAGGUGCAGCUGGAACUUUUCCUGAGCUAAAAGCAUAUUUAUUUAGUCCCGUAAAAAGGAUUAUUACUUUUGCUGCAGCUAAUAUAAAGGGAAUUGAUCCUCAUGCUGACUGAUGCAGGAUUCACAAUUUGUCUUUGGACAAUUUGUAAACUCGAUCUCAAAUCAAGUAAGACUACCCGCUGAACUUAA
RNAcentral lists this unclassified non-coding RNA (333 nucleotides) under uncultured Mortierella. RNAcentral's name for it is "sequence contains ITS2". The stretch from base 1 to 52 matches the Rfam family "5.8S ribosomal RNA", at positions 103 to 154 of the family's 154-position model. Lineage: Eukaryota; Fungi; Mortierellomycota; Mortierellomycetes; Mortierellales; Mortierellaceae. The record is from RNAcentral.